Molecule: transfer RNA, 74 nt
Filed under: Fukomys damarensis (Damara mole-rat)
Lineage: Eukaryota; Metazoa; Chordata; Mammalia; Rodentia; Bathyergidae
Rfam family: tRNA
About the family: Transfer RNA (tRNA) molecules are approximately 80 nucleotides in length. Their secondary structure includes four short double-helical elements and three loops (D, anti-codon, and T loops). Further hydrogen bonds mediate the characteristic L-shaped molecular structure. tRNAs have two regions of fundamental functional importance: the anti-codon, which is responsible for specific mRNA codon recognition, and the 3' end, to which the tRNAs corresponding amino acid is attached (by aminoacyl-tRNA synthetases). tRNAs cope with the degeneracy of the genetic code in two manners: having more than one tRNA (with a specific anti-codon) for a particular amino acid; and 'wobble' base-pairing, i.e. permitting non-standard base-pairing at the 3rd anti-codon position.
Source: Rfam by way of RNAcentral
GGCUUCAUGGCUUAGAUGGUUAAAGCACCUGUCUAGCAAACAAAAGGUCCUGGGUUCAAGUUCCAGCAAGGCCU